UACGUAGGGUGCGAGCGUUAAUCGGAAUUACUGGGCGUAAAGCGUGCGCAGGCGGUUUUGUAAGACAGGCGUGAAAUCCCCGGGCGUCAACCUGGGAACUGCGCUUGUGACUGCAAGGCUAGAGUACGGCAGAGGAGGGUGGAGUUCCACGUGUAGCAGUGAAAUGCGUAGAUAUGCGGAGGAACACCAAUGGCGAAGGCAAUCCCCUGGGCCUGUACUGACGCUCAUGCACGAAAGCGUGGGGAGCAAACCAGGAUUAGAAACCCUGGUAGU
Molecule: ribosomal RNA, 273 nt
Filed under: uncultured bacterium
Lineage: Bacteria
Description: partial 16S ribosomal RNA
Rfam family: Bacterial small subunit ribosomal RNA
Source: RNAcentral